GGGGCUGAGGCUCAGUGGUAGAGCACUCACCUAGCAUGUGUGAGGCACUGGGUUCUAUCCUCAGCACCA
This 69-nucleotide transfer RNA is filed under the name Ictidomys tridecemlineatus (thirteen-lined ground squirrel). RNAcentral's name for it is "Spermophilus tridecemlineatus (thirteen-lined ground squirrel) tRNA". It matches the Rfam family "tRNA". From Rfam's summary of the family: Transfer RNA (tRNA) molecules are approximately 80 nucleotides in length. Their secondary structure includes four short double-helical elements and three loops (D, anti-codon, and T loops). RNAcentral also lists the same sequence under 1 other name. The record is from Rfam by way of RNAcentral. Lineage: Eukaryota; Metazoa; Chordata; Mammalia; Rodentia; Sciuridae.